GCGGGAGUAGCAUAAUGGUUAGUGUUCUAGCCUUCCAAGCUAGUUAUGCGGGUUCGAUUCCCGUCUCCCGCU
This 72-nucleotide transfer RNA is filed under the name Endomicrobium sp. RNAcentral's name for it is "tRNA-Gly". It matches the Rfam family "tRNA". Rfam says of the family: Transfer RNA (tRNA) molecules are approximately 80 nucleotides in length. Their secondary structure includes four short double-helical elements and three loops (D, anti-codon, and T loops). Further hydrogen bonds mediate the characteristic L-shaped molecular structure. tRNAs have two regions of fundamental functional importance: the anti-codon, which is responsible for specific mRNA codon recognition, and the 3' end, to which the tRNAs corresponding amino acid is attached (by aminoacyl-tRNA synthetases). tRNAs cope with the degeneracy of the genetic code in two manners: having more than one tRNA (with a specific anti-codon) for a particular amino acid; and 'wobble' base-pairing, i.e. permitting non-standard base-pairing at the 3rd anti-codon position. Lineage: Bacteria; Pseudomonadati; Elusimicrobiota; Endomicrobiia; Endomicrobiales; Endomicrobiaceae. The record is from RNAcentral.